GGGGGGGGGCGAGAAAAUUUAGGACUCCUCUCUCCACCGCCAUUUGUUGUCUGAGAAUCCUAGAGGGAGAGAGGAACCGUAGUGCGAUCCCCGCUUCAAUCCUGGGGUGCCUCCUCACCCCGAUUUAGUAGUCCGAAGGAGUGGGAGGAGUUCCCUGCAACCCGCGGGGUCAAGAAGUAAGUGCUGUGCGUCCGGAGCCGCUCGAAGUCGGAGGGCCUCACCCCAGAGGGCCUCACUCGAAUGCCCCCUGCCCAUCCCCACGCCCGGAAGCCCUGGAGCGCCUGAGCCACCUCCGGGGAACCAGCCAACUGAGGUCCCACUUCCUCCGUUGGGUAACGUUCUCUGCGGGAGCUCGGCGGUUAACCGCGCAGCCGCGCCCGCUACGCUGGCCUCGGCACCCUGAGCCUGCCGGAGGGAGAGACAGACAGUCUGGCCGCGAGGAAGGUCCACUCUGUAGCCCGCCCCCGCAUGUAGGCGCUGUCCUGCACCUCCGGAGCUCGAGGCCCAAGGAAAUGAGGGCUGCGUAGACCUGGCCGCGCACUUCUCUCAUCCACGUUCCCACUCAACGUCAGCGCUGAGACCUGUGGCACAGAGGAGCUGUUCUGAACCACCGUUUGGCAGAGAUGGAAGUUCAACUCCCCGUCUACAGAGAAGUAAACUGAGGCCCAGGCAGCGGAGGAAAGGCAGCUGUGGAGCUCAGUGGUUAAGAGCAAGGAACUGGUGGUCGGAGAACGGAACCUCAGGUCCACCAGGUAACAGCUGUGUAACCCUGGAUGAGUUCCAUAGCCUCUCUGAGGCUUAGUUUUCUUACUGACCAAAGGGGAUAGUGGAAUCCUAGCGUCCACCUCAUGGGGUCAUAAGGAUUAGACAGGAGGAUAGUGUUGGUUUAUGCGUCCAAUAAACGUUACAAUUUUGUCACUAUUCUUGUUUAAGGAUGCGUAGCAAGAUAGUGGCAAAGCCGAGCUGAAACCCAGGUCUCUCAACGUCUAGCUCGGGGCUUUACCCCCACGACCCCUCUGCCUCCCUAGAGCAAAUGGAAUGAGGAGUAAAGAAAGGAGGGGGAGAGAGAAGCUGACAAUCCAUAUGGCUUUGGUACGUUGGUAAAACGCAUCCUUGCCUGGAAAGUGCUUAAUUAUUGCAAGAUCAAAAAAAAAUCGCUGCUGAGUGGGAGGGGGUACUGAGGACCUCUAAACCCCCCACUUUGACCUCGGCUCUGACCAAGAGCCGGGCCCGGCGGAGCAGCCGCGGCCCCAGGGGGCAGCGCAUACUCCCAGGCUGCGCUCCGGGCGUCACCCCGCGGCCGCCGACAACUGAAUAAACACACCGAAGCACUGCGAUCUGUCAAGGGCUGGGGCCGCAGACGCCGAAGAGGAGUGGCUCGACCGCCAGCCGCCCCGAGGAACUGGCGCUGGGUUAGCACCUCGCGCAGGAGCUAGAGCCGGGAGCUCCGAGCGCAGGACGGGCAGCCUACCGGCUGCUCCUCUCCACCCUGAAGACUCCCAACUCUUACGUAUCUGCUUACCCCCGGCCUCCCGGCAGGCGCUUAAGCCCGUUUCCAGCCCGGUGCUGGCGGUAGAAACCCCAGCUUCAUUUCUUUAAAUUAAAAAAAAAAAAAAAAAAAAGUCAAGGAGGGACUUUUGUCGGAGUCCACCUUCCCCUUGCCCUCCACCCUGGUUUCCUCUGCUCCUUUGAAAAAAUAACCCGAUGUUUUUGAACAACCACUCGUCUACAGUUCAGACUCCGUUCUCUGACCCAGUUUGGGGUUCAGGACCGGCGAGAACCACCACCUGGGCCUUGCAAAAAUAUCCCCUCUCCCCCAGCGUGCAGUUCUUGGAAUCGCCAGAGUUACCCGUCUGUUCUGAUGCCACCGCGAGAUGAUGGUCCCCAAGCUCCCAGAGUCCCCAUUGGAAGGAUUCCGCAGCGCUGCCUCUAUUAUUAUACCGAUCUGUUUUAGAUAGUUUAGUGAACUCUCUCCAGCCUGGACUCCUGACCUGUGACCUCCCAUUAUUCAAACCAAGGCUGACACAUGUGGGCAUCUGGAGCUUUGUUCCCUCACUUCUCAGCCUCAUCUCCUAAAAUAAAGAUGCUCCAUCAGGUUCUGACAAUGUGCCAGAUGGUCAAAACUCCAUUAGCCUGAGUCCCUGAGAAGAAAGGGUGGAAGAGAAGCUUCCCAUGCCUGGUAUAUAAAUAUGGCCUUGAAAAUGUCCACAGACGUGUUGUUGUCUUGUUGAGUCUGCAGCCAGGAAGGCAGAAAUCUCUGCAGCAAAGCAGGUGUGAACGUCCCCCUAUUUCAGAGGCAGCUCUCUUUGAAGCUGGAAAAUCAAGGACGCUGGUACCUUCAAGGAAACAAGGAUAUAAUUAUCACAACCCCCAACUGGCCGGUGACCUUCCAUUCCUCAGGCCACCCUACUCCCUUCACUGGCCCCGGCCCAGGUCCUCACAGACUCAGAGCUCUGUGUCCCAGACCGCUAAGACCGAGGAACAACCCCCUCACGCACCCUUUGAAAGCAUUCUUAAUCUCUCUCUACUGCACUGCUCUUUCAGACAUAAAUCCGCCAGCCCAGGGGGCCUCUGAACCCCCCACGGAGGGAGGCCCAUUCAGGCCCAGUGGAGUCUGAACAGCUUACGGGUAGAAUUUAUGCUUCCUCUCACCUGUGCCAUCUGUCUGUGGCCCCUACUCUAGUCUGCUUUUGAAGGUUUGAAUAUGACCCCCCAGCUUUUUGCCAAGUCUGCCAUCAUCACCUCAGUCACAGAAGCAGACUUCUCAAGGCCAUUGGAAGCUAAUAACAGUGACUCUCAACUUCAUUAUUAUACUUGAAAUGUUGAAAGCAGAAGCCUAAUAAAAUGAGCUCAGAAAAAACAAACCAAGCUAUAAAUUAUCAUGUGAAAAGAGUGGCUGAAGAACUCAUCUCCUCGGAAUACCUAAGGACUGUUUCUCAGCUACAGCAACAAUCUGGUAUUUGGUUUCCUUCCCUUCACUGUGCAAAAGCCUUGGCUGUGUUCUCUUAGCACAGAUUCUUUUCUGCUUCUAUGAGUCGACUGUCCAGAAUCAGGAGUUACACAACACUCCCCACCCAACUCCUUCACACACACACACACACACACACACACACACACACACACUCCGUACCCAGCCUUGGUCCACUGAAUUGUAAUAAUUCUUUUUGACCAUAAGGAAUUUAUCCUACAUUAUCACCAAUCAGUACUCAUUGCAAUUAUUUAUUUUAAGAUAAGAGUAAAAGUCCACUUCCUUAACUUCAUAAAGACUAUUUAUGCUAAACUGAUGUAUUUAAUGAAAAAACACCAGAAGCAUUAUUCCCUGUAAAAUUAGAAGCAACUUAGGGAUGCCCCUAUCACUGUUACUAUUAUACAAUGUUUUGGAAAUUCUAGACCUUUUCAGGGGAUAUUUAGCAAUACCUGGAACCAUUUUGUCAUCACAACUUUGGAAACUGGAGUGCUAUUGGCAUCUGGUGGGUAGAGGGGAGGAAUGCUGCUAAAUAUUCUGCAAGGCCCAGGAAAGCCCCCACAACAGAGAAUUCUCCAGCCCAAAGUGUCAAUAGUGCUGAGGGUAAGGGACCUUGCUCUAUACAAUGCAACAAAACGUGAAACAUAAAUAAGAGAAAAAAGUUUAAAAAAUAACUAAUUUUUAUUAUCAUUAAUUGCAAAGAACAUGUAUCACCUAGAAAAGCAAACCAAAAAUACUGAACUAUGCAUUAUUAAAGUUCAUAAAAUAGUAAAUAAUGCAGCUGGCUAAAAAUUUUUUCAAUUCUGUGAGAGACUGAAGAGUCUUUCAUUUUCCUGCAGGUUUAUUUAUCUAUUCUACAAAAAUUUCCUGAGAACAAAAGGGUUGGUUUUAUAAAAGAACACUUAAGAGAUAUAAGAUGACUUUUACACUUUAAAACAUGGAAGAGACUAAGAAAUUUUAAAAACCAAGUCUAUUAACACUGUAAGACAAUAUUAUAGGAAACCCAAGUGGACAUAUCUUCCCAAACUAUAAGCUAGACUGGAGACUUUUUAAAAAAGAUUUGUGUAAAGUAUGAAAACAUUAUUUGGGGGUAGUAAACACACACACACACACACACACACACACACACACACAAAUACUCCUUUUAGCAGAUAAAAACUUCCUCAGUAUUUUUUAAUGAGGGUAGUACUCUAAUGCAUCAUUGGAAAUCUAAAUAGUCCAUCACAAUACAUAAUUACGGUCCAGUAGAUGAAGCUUCUUGAGGGGACAGCCCAUAUCUUAUUCAUCUUUCUAUCUCCAUAAUUGACACAUACCAAGAACCCAAUGUUUAUGAAUUAAUGAAAUAAAUAAAAACAUUAACAGUG
This is a long non-coding RNA of Felis catus (domestic cat), 4329 nucleotides long. RefSeq lists it as uncharacterized. NCBI's taxonomy places the organism in Eukaryota, Metazoa, Chordata, Mammalia, Carnivora, Felidae. The transcript is spliced from 4 exons. The record is from RefSeq and is a predicted model, not a curated record.